Molecule: long non-coding RNA, 480 nt
Filed under: Bos taurus (domestic cattle)
Lineage: Eukaryota; Metazoa; Chordata; Mammalia; Artiodactyla; Bovidae
Description: long non-coding RNA NONBTAT013895
Source: RNAcentral
AUUGGUUGCCGAAAUAUGCUGGUCAAGCACCUCUCAUAGUUCUGUUAGGGGAUCUUCCUGAUCCAGGGAUCCAACCCGUAUCUCCUGUGUCUCCUGCAUUAGCAGGUGGAUUCUCUGCAACUAGCACCAUCUUUCAUUAAGCUUAAAUGACAACAUGCCAGCUGUCAGAUGGAGAAAAGCAGGAAACUUUGGCAUUGCUAUUCCUGCCACCUUUACCACGGAGUCCCUAUAAAUAGCACAAUAGGAUAAACCCGCCACAGAGGGAGAGCAGCAGGUGGCACUCGCUGUAGCAAGAGCUGAAGGUGUAAAUGAAUUUCAAUGUCUUCAUGAUACCAAACAACAAUCAGAUAACAGAGAAUGAAGCUUUUGUUAUGGGAGAGUCCAAUAUUUCAAGAAAAUAAUAAUGAUGGUGAUACUUUUCAUUAUCAUGCAGCGUCCCCUUUGUAAGAGGUUUCAAAGAAGAAAGCACCUUGUUUUCAC